This 1070-nucleotide long non-coding RNA is filed under the name Equus caballus (horse). RNAcentral describes it as "lncRNA (ENSECAG00000056899.1)". Lineage: Eukaryota; Metazoa; Chordata; Mammalia; Perissodactyla; Equidae. The record is from RNAcentral.
AUAUCCUGUGGUUGUUUGUACCUUCCAGGAAGUGACUUUCUUUACACACUUGGUAAGGCCAAUAUUUCCAAGCGGUUUUAUUCCAUAAAGUCCCAUGUUUGUUCCUCAAAGCUGUCUGGUCAUCUGAGUCUACGCAUGUUUCUCUCAAAUAUGACACUCCUGUCAAAGCCUUGGUAAUAUGAUCAAUAUUUCCUAUCGUGCCCUGCUAUAAGGAGAUAAGGUUCUUAUUAAGCUUAUACAAGUAACUAUAUUGUCAUGAAAAUUAUAAGACUUACUCACAAAGUGUUUCCAAAUUCUGGAGGUAUCAGGUAGGAAGAAAAAGAUAAAUGCUUCAAUUCUGCUUUCAAAGGUAUAAUUUACCAAGUUGCUAUAAGUCGGUUUGCUUAAGAGAAAAACCUUUCCUUAAAUCUAGAAAAAUAAAAUAUUAAAAAUGAGCAAUAUUUCAAAUGAGAAGUCAUAAAAAGUAUGAUCAUCCUCAUAAGUUCAUUCAGUUUCAUGUAACCAACUCUUGAUCUUUUCUUAGCAGUUUAAUGAAGUCAUCAGUUUCUAUAUUACUGUUCUUUAACUUCUUACCCAGUUUGGUUUUAUGAUCUGAAAAUUUAUCAGAAACCUGUAUUCUAGAAUGUUAGAGUCCUCUCCAUGAAUCUCUCUGAUGAUGAAAUACAUCUUCAAAACAUCAGAGUAAAAUAACAGCUAUCUGCAAAUGACGGAAGACUUGAAAAAGGCAAUUGACAAAGAAACUUCUAUUUCUGUGACAUAUAAUACUUCAAAAUGAUAACUAGAAUUCUGGCUGGUAACAAGGAAAGAUCAGAAUUUUAAGAAAGUUAUAUAAUUUUAAAACACUUACAUCAAUAACAUUUGCUCACAUAGUAUAUCUUAAGAAGGUUAAGGGGGCCAGCCUGGUGGCACAGUGGUUAAGUUCACACGUUCCACUUCUUGGCAGCCUGGGGUUUUCUGGUUUGGAUCCCAGGUGCAGACAUGGCACCACUUGGCAAAAGCCAUGCUAUGGUAAGCGUCUCAUGUAUAAAGUGGAGGAAGAUGGGCAUGGAUGUUAGCUCAAGGCCAGGCUU